AGAGUUUGAUCCUGGCUCAGGACGAACGCUGGCGGCGUGCCUAAUACAUGCAAGUCGUACGCUUCUUUUUCCACCGGAGCUUGCUCCACCGGAAAAAGAGGAGUGGCGAACGGGUGAGUAACACGUGGGUAACCUGCCCAUCAGAAGGGGAUAACACUUGGAAACAGGUGCUAAUACCGUAUAACAAUCGAAACCGCAUGGUUUUGAUUUGAAAGGCGCUUUCGGGUGUCACUGAUGGAUGGACCCGCGGUGCAUUAGCUAGUUGGUGAGGUAACGGCUCACCAAGGCCACGAUGCAUAGCCGACCUGAGAGGGUGAUCGGCCACAUUGGGACUGAGACACGGCCCAAACUCCUACGGGAGGCAGCAGUAGGGAAUCUUCGGCAAUGGACGAAAGUCUGACCGAGCAACGCCGCGUGAGUGAAGAAGGUUUUCGGAUCGUAAAACUCUGUUGUUAGAGAAGAAUAAGGAUGAGAGUAACUGUUCAUCCCUUGACGGUAUCUAACCAGAAAGCCACGGCUAACUACGUGCCAGCAGCCGCGGUAAUACGUAGGUGGCAAGCGUUGUCCGGAUUUAUUGGGCGUAAAGCGAGCGCAGGCGGUUUCUUAAGUCUGAUGUGAAAGCCCCCGGCUCAACCGGGGAGGGUCAUUGGAAACUGGGAGACUUGAGUGCAGAAGAGGAGAGUGGAAUUCCAUGUGUAGCGGUGAAAUGCGUAGAUAUAUGGAGGAACACCAGUGGCGAAAGCGGCUCUCUGGUCUGUAACUGACGCUGAGGCUCGAAAGCGUGGGGAGCA
RNAcentral lists this ribosomal RNA (791 nucleotides) under Enterococcus faecium. Its description in RNAcentral is "bacterial SSU rRNA". It matches the Rfam family "Bacterial small subunit ribosomal RNA", at positions 8 to 770 of the family's 1533-position model. The record is from RNAcentral. Lineage: Bacteria; Bacillati; Bacillota; Bacilli; Lactobacillales; Enterococcaceae.